UGAGUAACACGUAUCCAACCUGCCGUCUACUCUUGGCCAGCCUUCUGAAAGGAAGAUUAAUCCAGGAUGGCAUCAUGAGUUCACAUGUCCGCAUGAUUAAAGGUAUUUUCCGGUAGACGAUGAGGAUGCGUUCCAUUAGAUGGUAGGCGGGGUAACGGCCCACCUAGUCAACGAUGGAUAGGGGUUCUGAGAGGAAGGUCCCCCACAUUGGAACUGAGACACGGUCCAA
This 229-nucleotide ribosomal RNA is filed under the name uncultured bacterium. RNAcentral's name for it is "partial 16S ribosomal RNA". It matches the Rfam family "Bacterial small subunit ribosomal RNA", at positions 107 to 334 of the family's 1533-position model. The record is from RNAcentral.